This is a long non-coding RNA of Pogonomyrmex barbatus (red harvester ant), 1231 nucleotides long. RefSeq lists it as uncharacterized. Lineage: Eukaryota; Metazoa; Arthropoda; Insecta; Hymenoptera; Formicidae. The record is from RefSeq and is a predicted model, not a curated record.
UAUAUUUUGCAUAUAUUCAAUAUAUAUUUAAUCAUAUAUUUAAUUUUUGCUUUUCGCGAAGGAAAGAUCGCACGGCUACUUCGCCGUCGUUGGAAUUUGUUGAACUAAUACGAAUUAUUUUUGCAUACGUGCGAAACUUUUCAAAACAAAUAGCUCGGAUUGGCGUCACUCGAUCCCGUCGUCGUUUCUCGACCGGGCUCGGGUGGCCGAAGCUUUCUAGAGUUUCUCGACUUUCCUGAGAAGGUUCACGGCUACGGUAGUACCUGUUAGGAAGGGAUCUGGUUUUGAAACGAGUUGUAAUGGCAAUUCGCCACGAGAGAGAGAGACCUGUCGCCGUCGCCGGCGUCGUCGCUCGUCGUCGGCCAUGGUGGGGAGUAAACGAAGUGACGGGAUGGUUCGGAUGGAACUCGAGGACGUUCACCUUUUUUCGUGACUUCGUCGAGGCAGCCAGACACCGUUGAGAUACACCCUCCCCUGCCGACUAGAAUCCUGGACCUGGAUUGACCUAUUCGUCUAUAAUGAUACACGAGAAGCAUCGAUCAUUACAAAAAGGGAUGUAUGUAUACUCUCUGCUGUAUAUCUCCAAAAAAAACAACGAGAAGGAUUGUGUCCGUUACGGACGUGCUUCCGCCGGAAGUGAGACGGAUGGAAGGAUGGAAGAUAAGCAUUGGCCGCGCGACCGGAGCAUAACGGAGUGCGAUGACGAAGGGCAAAAGGACGAAAAAAAAGAAAAAAAGGAUCGUGAAGAAGAUGAAGAAAAGGAAAGAACAGGAAAGGGAAGAGUAGCGCCGUGACCUUGCGAAUCGACUUCCGCAUUGCUGCAGCCGGCAGGCUUUUAUGGAUGCGAGAUAUCUCAAAGAUCGAGAAUAAGGCCAGAUGCGUUUUUAAUUAUUUCGCGGCGGAACGCAAGUAAAGUGUUUUGAUUUUACUCCAGUGAGACGAUUUCUUUUCUCGUAGACCGAAUACUUUAUUAUCUUUCAAUCUUUGAAGGAUUAUAAUACCGAGGAUAGUCGGUAAUAAUAAACCUUCGCGAGAAAGGUUUGUGUAAUAGAAACAAAAGAAUAGUAAGGGAAAGCAAAGACGUCUCGUGAGGUUUAAGUUCCGGGUUGUUGGUUACUAAUGGUUCCACUGUAACUAAUUAUCCACUUGCGGAAAAUUGCUACAUUCCCAUUUGAAUCAGAGGAACCACGGUGUAGAACGAAGAAGAAGAAUAGGAGACAAAAAAGGCAAA